AAAAAGGUAAACCCUAGGUUUACGUGUCCAACUUUGACUGUCCGUCUUAUAUGAAAUUUUUUUAUAAUUCGUAUUUUCAUUGUUGUUAGAUGAUAAAACAUGAUUAAUAUUUUAUGUGUGAUUUGUCUUUUUAUUUUUUUCAUAAUUUUUUCAAAUAAGACAGACGGUCAAACGUUGGACACGGAAACCAGGGUUUGUCUUUUU
MicroRNA precursor from Oryza sativa Indica Group (long-grained rice), 204 nucleotides. It matches the Rfam family "MIR812 microRNA precursor family". The record is from Rfam. Lineage: Eukaryota; Viridiplantae; Streptophyta; Magnoliopsida; Poales; Poaceae.